GUGGGGAAUAUUGGACAAUGGGGGGAACCCUGAUCCAGCCAUGCCGCGUGUGUGAAGAAGGCCUUUUGGUUGUAAAGCACUUUAAGCGAGGAGGAGGCUACCGAGAUUAAUACUCUUGGAUAGUGGACGUUACUCGCAGAAUAAGCACCGGCUAACUCUGUGCCAGCAGCCGCGGUAAUACAGAGGGUGCAAGCGUUAAUCGGAUUUACUGGGCGUAAAGCGCGCGUAGGUGGCCAAUUAAGUCAAAUGUGAAAUCCCCGAGCUUAACUUGGGAAUUGCAUUCGAUACUGGUUGGCUAGAGUAUGGGAGAGGAUGGUAGAAUUCCAGGUGUAGCGGUGAAAUGCGUAGAGAUCUGGGGGAAUACCGAUGGCGAAGGCAGCCAUCUGGCCUAAUACUGACACUGAGGUGCGAAAGCAUGGGGAGCAAACAGGAUUAGAAACCCCGGUAGUCC
This 451-nucleotide ribosomal RNA is filed under the name uncultured bacterium. RNAcentral describes it as "partial 16S ribosomal RNA". It matches the Rfam family "Bacterial small subunit ribosomal RNA", at positions 354 to 796 of the family's 1533-position model. The record is from RNAcentral.